AUGAAUCUUCGGGGUUAGGUGAAAUUCCUUACCGGCGGUGAUGAUUGAGUGUUAAUCGUAGCCCGCGACUCUUUUAUCGUGAUGAUUUUGAUAAAAGACUGACUUGGUGUGAAUCCAAGGCCGACGGUUAAAGUCCGGAUGGGAGGAGAUCGAA
Molecule: non-coding RNA, 154 nt
Filed under: Alkalihalobacillus pseudalcaliphilus
Lineage: Bacteria; Bacillati; Bacillota; Bacilli; Caryophanales; Bacillaceae
Description: Bacillus pseudalcaliphilus FMN sequence
Rfam family: FMN riboswitch aptamer (RFN element)
About the family: The RFN element is a highly conserved domain that is found frequently in the 5'-untranslated regions of prokaryotic mRNAs that encode for flavin mononucleotide (FMN) biosynthesis and transport proteins.
Source: RNAcentral